Molecule: ribosomal RNA, 496 nt
Filed under: uncultured bacterium
Lineage: Bacteria
Description: partial 16S ribosomal RNA
Rfam family: Bacterial small subunit ribosomal RNA
Source: RNAcentral
GAUGAACGCUGGCGGCGUGCCUAAUACAUGCAAGUCGAGCGAACAGAUAGGAGCUUGCUCCUUUGACGUUAGCGGCGGACGGGUGAGUAACACGUGGGUAACCUACCUAUAAGACUGGGAUAACUUCGGGAAACCGGAGCUAAUACCGGAUAACAUUUGGAACCGCAUGGUUCUAAAGUGAAAGAUGGUUUUGCUAUCACUUAUAGAUGGACCCGCGCCGUAUUAGCUAGUUGGUAAGGUAACGGCUUACCAAGGCGACGAUACGUAGCCGACCUGAGAGGGUGAUCAGCCACACUGGAACUGAGACACGGUCCAGACUCCUACGGGAGGCAGCAGUAGGGAAUCUUCCGCAAUGGGCGAAAGCCUGACGGAGCAACGCCGCGUGAGUGAUGAAGGGUUUCGGCUCGUAAAACUCUGUUAUUAGGGAAGAACAAAUGUGUAAGUAACUGUGCACGUCCUGACGGUACCUAAUCAGAAAGCCACGGCUAACUACGUG